Molecule: long non-coding RNA, 642 nt
Organism: Scylla paramamosain (green mud crab)
Lineage: Eukaryota; Metazoa; Arthropoda; Malacostraca; Decapoda; Portunidae
Exons: 2
Source: RefSeq, a predicted model, not a curated record
CCAGUGGGAAAAGCUUUAUGUACUGCUGGAAUUGAGACAACAUUAAUUCAAGACUCUGCAGUGUUCCCCAUCAUGUCACGUGUCAACAAGGUCAUCAAAGGUCAUCGUUGGCACCGAGACGGUGGUGACCAACGGAGGCAUUGAGACCUUUGUUGGUGCAGCCUCUCUUGCCUCACCACCAAAGUUUUAUUCUGUUCCAUCGAGGUACUGCACCAUCCUACGUGUACCGGCAGCUUAGCGAACUGUACCGUCCCACUUCUUGUGAUCUCUAAGGUAACAGCUUUAAUCCUUGCAAAUAAGGAAUAAGAGAAAAGAGACACACCUGCCAUUUGUACUGUUAUGCUGUAGUGUUCUGUCAUUUUUUUUCCUCUUUUAUCCUAGAACCAUUUUUGGUCAUUCAUGUUUCUAAAAAUUAUUAUACAAAAAUGUUGAGCUUAAUAUGUUUGGUGUAGCUUUUUGUAACAUGUGUUAUUGUUAAUGUGUGUGGUUCCCCUCAGGAAGAAUGUUGCAGUAUUAGCAGUAAUGUUACAGCCAAUGGAAGUGUCUGUAUUGUGCUUUGGUGGGAGGUUAAUUUGAUGUAUUUUUAGAGUUGUGCAGGAUAUUAUAGCAAGCCCUCAAAAUAAAGAAAAUAACUAUAGAAAA